UUCUCGAUGGCUGUUAGUCGCCAUGAUGGGCAUGUGUCCCUCGCCAACGAGGCUACAAUCUUCUAGCUUAGGCUGUUCUCCAAUGACCUCAAGAUGCUGAACUUUUUUGCUGCCAAGGACAUCAACACCGAUGACAUGACCACUCUCUCUAGAGCACACACCAUCAGCCAAGCCUGCUGAGAGUUCAUCUCAAACUGCUCGGACAUGAACUACAGCCUCAGCAAAGAUCUCAAGGACAAAUACAAGUGUGGUAUAACAACACAAAGUUAGUGCAGGACUACAAAACCCUGACAUCUUGGAGAACUCUAUAUGUCUCGUCCCUCUCCAGCUCCAUCUCUUGAACAACUACGAGGUCCCACCAUCCACCGUCGUGGAAUAUAAGUUUGGCCCUGAGAAGGCUAGCACUUUGAACACAUAAGCUGUAAUGAAGUUUGGAUCCAAAUGGGAUACAACAGAUAUUUGAGAGGCUGUGAAGAUGACAGCAUAAAUUGCAGCCAUGAAGAGGAUGACAACAUAAGCAUCUAUAUAUGUGCUAUAUAUGUUGAAUGGCUAGGAUUGUGAGCCAAUACUGUCUUUUAGUGUAAUGGUUGGACACCUGGAUGAAGUUGGAAUAUAUUGGGAUUGGAAUCAGAAGCAUAUAUCCAUGUAUUGGAAUUUAUUGUAUUUGUGUAAUGGAUAGACAUUUGGACCA
Sorghum bicolor (sorghum) is the source of this 691-nucleotide long non-coding RNA. RefSeq lists it as uncharacterized. Lineage: Eukaryota; Viridiplantae; Streptophyta; Magnoliopsida; Poales; Poaceae. The record is from RefSeq and is a predicted model, not a curated record. The transcript has 2 exons.